GAACAUGCUGGAAAGCAUGGCCAUAGCGGGUGACAGCCCCGUAUUCCAAGCUCGAUGGAACGUAUUAAGUAGGGCGGAACACGUGAAAUCCUGUCUGAACAUGGGGGGACCACCCUCCAAGCCUAAAUACUCGUACAUGACCGAUAGCGAACACAGUACCGUGAGGGAAAGGUGAAAAGCACCCCGACGAGGGGAGUGAAACAGUACCUGAAACCGAACGCCUACAAUCAGUCGGAGCCCCCUUGCGGGGUGACGGCGUACCUUUUGUAUAAUGGGUCAUCGACUUAGUGU
Molecule: ribosomal RNA, 291 nt
Filed under: Heterosigma akashiwo
Lineage: Eukaryota; Raphidophyceae; Chattonellales; Chattonellaceae
Description: partial Bacterial large subunit ribosomal RNA
Rfam family: Bacterial large subunit ribosomal RNA
Source: RNAcentral